AGUGAACGCUGGCGGUAGGCCUAACACAUGCAAGUCGAACGGCAGCACAGUAAGAGCUUGCUCUUACGGGUGGCGAGUGGCGGACGGGUGAGGAAUACAUCGGAAUCUACUUUUUCGUGGGGGAUAACGUAGGGAAACUUACGCUAAUACCGCAUACGACCUACGGGUGAAAGCAGGGGAUCUUCGGACCUUGCGCGAUUGAAUGAGCCGAUGUCGGAUUAGCUAGUUGGCGGGGUAAAGGCCCACCAAGGCGACGAUCCGUAGCUGGUCUGAGAGGAUGAUCAGCCACACUGGAACUGAGACACGGUCCAGACUCCUACGGGAGGCAGCAGUGGGGAAUAUUGGACAAUGGGCGCAAGCCUGAUCCAGCCAUACCGCGUGGGUGAAGAAGGCCUUCGGGUUGUAAAGCCCUUUUGUUGGGAAAGAAAAGCAGCAGGUUAAUACCCCGCUGUUCUGACGGUACCCAAAUAAUAAGCACCGGCUAACUUAGUG
This 492-nucleotide ribosomal RNA is filed under the name uncultured bacterium. RNAcentral describes it as "partial 16S ribosomal RNA". It matches the Rfam family "Bacterial small subunit ribosomal RNA", at positions 29 to 507 of the family's 1533-position model. The record is from RNAcentral.